CCUACAGGAGGCUGCAGUGGGGAAUAUUGGACAAUGGGGGGAACCCUGAUCCAGCCAUGCCGCGUGUGUGAAGAAGGCCCUCGGGUUGUAAAGCACUUUCAGUGAGGAAGAACGCCUGGUGGUUAAUACCCAUCAGGAAAGACAUCACUCACAGAAGAAGCACCGGCUAACUCCGUGCCAGCAGCCGCGGUAAUACGGAGGGUGCGAGCGUUAAUCGGAAUUACUGGGCGUAAAGCGCGCGUAGGUGGCUUGAUAAGCCGGUUGUGAAAGCCCCGGGCUCAACCUGGGAACGGCAUCCGGAACUGUCAAGCUAGAGUGCAGGAGAGGAAGGUAGAAUUCCCGGUGUAGCGGUGAAAUGCGUAGAGAUCGGGAGGAAUACCAGUGGCGAAGGCGGCCUUCUGGACUGACACUGACACUGAGGUGCGAAAGCGUGGGUAGCAAACAGGAUUAGAUACCCGUGUAGUC
Molecule: ribosomal RNA, 465 nt
Filed under: Vreelandella stevensii
Lineage: Bacteria; Pseudomonadati; Pseudomonadota; Gammaproteobacteria; Oceanospirillales; Halomonadaceae
Description: partial 16S ribosomal RNA
Rfam family: Bacterial small subunit ribosomal RNA
Source: RNAcentral